Molecule: ribosomal RNA, 425 nt
Filed under: uncultured bacterium
Lineage: Bacteria
Description: bacterial SSU rRNA
Rfam family: Bacterial small subunit ribosomal RNA
Source: RNAcentral
GAAUAAUUCACAAUGGGGGCAACCCUGAUGGUGCAACGCCGCGUGGAGGAUGACGGUCUUCGGAUUGUAAACUCCUGUCAUCCGGGAGUAAGACCUGGCCGUUAAUAGCGGACAGGGUUGAUAGUACCGGAAGAGGAAGGGACGGCUAACUUCGUGCCAGCAGCCGCGGUAAUACGAAGGUCCCAAGCGUUGUUCGGAAUCACUGGGCGUAAAGGGAGCGUAGGCGGCGUGGUAAGUCAGAUGUGAAAUCCCGGGGCUCAACCCCGGAACUGCAUCCGAUACUGCCAUGCUAGAGGAUUGGAGAGGUAGCUGGAAUUCUUGGUGUAGCAGUGAAAUGCGUAGAGAUCAAGAGGAACACUCGUGGCGAAAGCGAGCUACUGGACAAUUCCUGACGCUGAGGCUCGAAGGCCAGGGUAGCGAAAGGG